This 423-nucleotide long non-coding RNA is filed under the name Homo sapiens (human). RNAcentral's name for it is "non-protein coding lnc-TMEM252-2:4". Lineage: Eukaryota; Metazoa; Chordata; Mammalia; Primates; Hominidae. The record is from RNAcentral.
GGUGCCUGUGCAGCAGUAUUCACUGUGAUAGGAAGUGAGAAGCAGUCUGAGUGUUCAUUGCUGAGGGAAUCAAGGGCAAAAUAUCAUGGAUGCACUCAUGGACAAAUAAGCAGCAGUUUGAAGCAACAACCUAGAUGGAUGUACAGCCAUCAAGAGGAUCUUAAAGUGUGGUCUUUAGUGGAAAAAAAGCAGAAGCAAUGUAUGGGAGACUGAGUAAUUACAUAUAAGCUCACAUCACUAUCUCUUCCACCACUGUCAUCCAUCAUGACUGAUCUGGGAGAUGAAACAGCACAGAUCUAAAGGACGUGGUAAGAAUCGAGAUCACCAGAGAUCAGUAGAUACUUGCAUACUUGCAGGAUUAACACUGUCUGGAUUCCAACGAUCAGCUGAGUAUGUUCAAGAUAAAGCUAUAGUACAUAUUUU